CGCGGGUGCGGUUGGUCGGCAGGUCUUUUUUGCAAAAAGGGCGAGCGCAUCGGCGCGUCGCAGGCGAGGACCGACAGUCGCGAGGACCCGCGCGUCCACUUUUUGGGCGCCCGUCCACUUGCCAGCAGCCCCCUCGUCCGCGCUGUCGCCGGCGUGGUUGUGCCUCUCGACCUUUUCGAGUCCGGCGGCCCCAGUCCCACGAACGGUCCCGGCUCAUGCUGUCUCGUGACUCACGACUUUAACUCGACCCCCUGGCGGCAAUCGGACCAGCCGACAUCGCCAUUUGAGCCGCGGACAAAGAGUCAAACCCUGCAGUCAGUCGCACUCGAGUUUGUGUUUGCGCUUGGGGCUCCAUUUCCCUGGACAACUCUGCGCGCAAUUUGUUCAUGAUUCGGAAAACAACGCCGGCGAGUUCAAUUCCCA
RNAcentral lists this long non-coding RNA (423 nucleotides) under Pandoravirus salinus. Its description in RNAcentral is "putative ncRNA". The record is from RNAcentral.